CAGUAGCCGCGGUAAUACGAAGGGUGCAAGCGUUAAUCGGAAUUACUGGGCGUAAAGCGUGCGUAGGCGGUUCGUUAAGUCUGCUGUGAAAUCCCCGGGCUCAACCUGGGAAUGGCAGUGGAUACUGGCAAGCUAGAGUGUGUCAGAGGAUGGUGGAAUUCCCGGUGUAGCGGUGAAAUGCGUAGAGAUCGGGAGGAACAUCAGUGGCGAAGGCGGCCAUCUGGGACAACACUGACGCUGAGGCACGAAAGCGUGGGGAGCAAACAGGAUUAGAUACCCCCGUAGUCCCUGUCUCUUAUAC
RNAcentral lists this ribosomal RNA (301 nucleotides) under uncultured bacterium. RNAcentral describes it as "partial 16S ribosomal RNA". It matches the Rfam family "Bacterial small subunit ribosomal RNA", at positions 509 to 807 of the family's 1533-position model. The record is from RNAcentral.